CAAUAGCGUAUACUAAAGUUGCUGCAGUUAAAAAGCUCGUAGUUGGAUUUCUGGUCGUGGUCGCCGGUCGUGCCCAAACGGGUUCUGUACCUGGCGCCCGCGUCCAUCCUCGGGGAGAGCGUGUCUGGCAUUAAGUUGUCGGGCUCGGGGACCCCGUCCCAGUUUCAACUUUAGUCGUGAUGGCAAAAAGUACGAAAAAUGUAGGUUAGCAAAUGGCUUCAAAGGGCCAGGCUUUUAAGGGGCCCCAAUGAAAUACAUUAGCAUGGAAUAAUAAGAUAAGACCUUGGUCUAUUUUGUUGGUUGCAUUCCAAGGUAAUGAUUAAUAGGGAUAGUUGGGGUGAUUCGUAUUCAAUUGUCAGAGGUGAAAUUCUUGGAUUUAUGAAAGAUGAACUUAGGCGAAAGCAUUUACCAAGGAUGUUUUUCAUUAAUCAAGAACGAAAGUUAGGGGAUCGAAGACGAUUAGAU
Molecule: ribosomal RNA, 465 nt
Filed under: uncultured eukaryote
Lineage: Eukaryota
Description: bacterial SSU rRNA
Rfam family: Eukaryotic small subunit ribosomal RNA
Source: RNAcentral